This 876-nucleotide long non-coding RNA is filed under the name Ananas comosus (pineapple). RNAcentral's name for it is "long non-coding RNA (ACOM_LNC018319)". The record is from RNAcentral. Lineage: Eukaryota; Viridiplantae; Streptophyta; Magnoliopsida; Poales; Bromeliaceae.
UUUUAUUCUUUUUCUAUUUUCAUUUUAACGCCAAUUUGCAUAAAAAUUUUACUGCUUUUGCAAAAUUAGACCGUAUUUUUUUAUUUUACAAAUUCGGUCCGAAUUUUCAUUAAAUUGAUCAAAAUAUUUUUAUAUCUUUUUCUCUCUCCUUUUUUUUUCCUCGUGUUCUUUUUUUUUCUCGCCGAAGAAGUCGGUGGAGGCAGAAACGCCCCCCCGGCCUUUGCCCCUCACGCACGCCCCGCCCUCUUCGCCUUCGACACCGCCAAGGCCGCGCCGCGACCUUUUUUCUUUUCCCUCUCCGACCCUCCUCCACCCGCCAUCCCCACCGCUGCCACAGGCGACAAAAAGGAAGUGCUUCUCAGGGCCUAGAAGCACAUCGGCGAGAAAGAAGGAGAAAAAUAAUUAUACUCCGACGAAGGCAAUAGUUGAUAUAGAGGGCAAGGAAGAGAUCGUGACCAAAAAAAAAUUAUAAAAAAAAAAAUAAUAAAAAUAAUAAAAUUAAAAAAAUUACAGUAAAAAUCAAAAAUUAUAGAAAAAGUAAGAAAAAGAUUAAAUUGUACUAUUAAAAUAAAAUUACACUAUUUUAGAUGAAAGUUGCACUCUUUAAGAUAGAAAUUACACUCUUUGGAUGAGAGUUAUACUCUUUAAACGAAAGUUGCACUAUUUUUAUGAAAUUUAUAUCAUUUCUUAUUCUUUUCUUCUCCAUCCUCAUUCUUCCCCUUCGUUUUCUCGUCCGCCUCCUCCUUCUUCCUCCUCCACCUUCGUUGCUGUCGUCGCCGUCAAGCGCCCCUCGCGCCGUCGCCUCCCUUCUACCGACGCCAAACUCACUCCCUUUAAUUAUAAUAUUAAGAUAUUAUGUUUGUAGCACCUGAACAU